This 507-nucleotide ribosomal RNA is filed under the name Colletotrichum crassipes. RNAcentral's name for it is "eukaryotic LSU rRNA". It matches the Rfam family "Eukaryotic large subunit ribosomal RNA", at positions 77 to 593 of the family's 3401-position model. The record is from RNAcentral. Lineage: Eukaryota; Fungi; Ascomycota; Sordariomycetes; Glomerellales; Glomerellaceae.
GCCUCAGUAACGGCGAGUGAAGCGGCAACAGCUCAAAUUUGAAAUCUGGUCCUUGCGGCCCGAGUUGUAAUUUGCAGAGGAUGCUUUUGGCGCGGUGCCUUCCAAGUUCCCUGGAACGGGACGCCUUAGAGGGUGAGAGCCCCGUACGGUUGGACACCAAGCCUUUGUAAAGCUCCUUCGACGAGUCGAGUAGUUUGGGAAUGCUGCUCUAAAUGGGAGGUAUAUUUCUUCUAAAGCUAAAUACCGGCCAGAGACCGAUAGCGCACAAGUAGAGUGAUCGAAAGAUGAAAAGCACUUUGAAAAGAGGGUUAAACAGCACGUGAAAUUGUUAAAAGGGAAGCGCUUGUGACCAGACUUGCGCCCGGUGAAUCACCCAGCUCUCGCGGCUGGGGCACUUUGCCGGCUCAGGCCAGCAUCAGCUUGCCGUCGGGGACAAAAGCUUCGGGAACGUAGCUCUCUUCGGGGAGUGUUUAUAGCCCGUUGCACAAUACCCUUCGGCGGGCUGAG